GACGAACGCUGGCGGCGUGCCUAAUACAUGCAAGUCGAACGCUUCUUUCCUCCCGAGUGCUUGCACUCAAUUGGAAAGAGGAGUGGCGGACGGGUGAGUAACACGUGGGUAACCUACCCAUCAGGGGGGGAUAACACUUGGAAACAGGUGCUAAUACCGCAUAACAGUUUAUGCCGCAUGGCAUAAGAGUGAAAGGCGCUUUCGGGUGUCGCUGAUGGAUGGACCCGCGGUGCAUUAGCUAGUUGGUGAGGUAACGGCUCACCAAGGCCACGAUGCAUAGCCGAACUGAGAGGGUGAUCGGCCACACUGGGACUGAGACACGGCCCAGACUCCUACGGGAGGCAGCAGUAGGGAAUCUUAGGCAAUGGACGAAAGUCUGACCGAGCAACGCCGCGUGAGUGAAGAAGGUUUUCGGAUCGUAAAACUCUGUUGUUAGAGAAGAACAAGGACGUUAGUAACUGAACGUCCCCUGACGGUAUCUAACCAGAAAGCCACGGCUAACUACGUG
RNAcentral lists this ribosomal RNA (508 nucleotides) under uncultured bacterium. Its description in RNAcentral is "partial 16S ribosomal RNA". It matches the Rfam family "Bacterial small subunit ribosomal RNA", at positions 28 to 507 of the family's 1533-position model. The record is from RNAcentral.